UCAACGGUUUUACUAGAAACCAAAAAAUAUCUAAAAAACUUGUGU
Molecule: non-coding RNA, 45 nt
Organism: Lodderomyces elongisporus NRRL YB-4239
Lineage: Eukaryota; Fungi; Ascomycota; Pichiomycetes; Serinales; Debaryomycetaceae
Source: Rfam